UACGAAGGGGGCUAGCGUUGUUCGGAAUCACUGGGCGUAAAGGGCGCGUAGGCGGCUUGAUAAGUCGGGGGUGAAAGCCUGUGGCUCAACCACAGAAUUGCCUUCGAUACUGUCUGGCUCGAGACCGGAAGAGGUAAGUGGAACUGCGAGUGUAGAGGUGAAAUUCGUAGAUAUUCGCAAGAGCACCAGUGGCGAAGGCGGCUUACUGGUCCGGUUCUGACGCUGAGGCGCGAAAGCGUGGGGAGCAAACAGG
RNAcentral lists this ribosomal RNA (253 nucleotides) under uncultured bacterium. RNAcentral's name for it is "partial 16S ribosomal RNA". It matches the Rfam family "Bacterial small subunit ribosomal RNA", at positions 524 to 776 of the family's 1533-position model. The record is from RNAcentral.